UUCCCUCAAGUACAGAAUCAGUUAUAUGUAUUUAUUGAGGUUUGGUCAUCCUUCCCCAUUGUCUUUGAAGUGAUGAAAGCUAAAUGAUUAUGACCUGCUUCCUAUGUUUUCCAGGUCCUCUCCUCUUCAGACCCUAAGAGGAUUCAAAACUUGAGAUUCGUUUUUCUUUCGUCGACACUCAUGUAACUAAUUGGAGAGACAUAGUGGAUGUUGUUGUUUUAGCUUGGGGUUUCGUAAUGGUAACCAUGUAAACCAGAAACAGUGACCUCAAGUUACGGCUCCUGGUCACUGUUGUUCUGACGAGAUCUUGUUCUAACAUAUGUUGAAUUCCAAUGGCAGAUUCGGAGCGCUUCCGGAGCUCCGCCAGGAGCAAGUCUGUUCUAUUAGGAGACUAGGAACAGUGCUGGAGUCUUCCAAUGGGAGCUUUGGGGCGGCCUUCAAGCCAAGGUCGCUCGAAGGAGCAACCGAGACUGCUCCCUCAAAAUAGGCAGAUUCAACCGGACUCUCCAUGACGUAUCACUUGUAACACUGCGCUUCCCAUUUCCUCUCUCUUCGCUAACAUGGUCGCUUCGUAAUGCAUCUCCGCCGUGACUGGUAUUUCGCGUCGUACGUUGCCGAUUUUGCUUCUCGAAGAAGGUGAUGAGUCAGACAUGUUCAGAGACUGACAUGUGUCAGACAUGUCAGACACUGAGUGUAGAUAAAGCAAAGUUUGCAUCCUUUCUACUUGAGCUAUGGAGGCGUCCGUAAUGGUAUGCACACGUGAUCUCUUGAAGGCAGCGUCCAGCCCCAUAGAAGCAAUGCCUCUCUUGAUUAAAUCAGAGAGGGUAAAGCUAAAGGGGAGAACUCCUUCUUUCGAGUAGGGCAUGUAUGUCCAACACAAAUUGAGGGGUGACGGGUACAUGUGUAAUUUCAGGAACUGUAAAGCACCUUCUUUUGGCAGUUCAAAGGGGAAGUUGAGGUCUCUAGAAUUCGACCGGAAAACGCCAAGGAGAGUCUGCUCUGAAACACUGACAGUCAAACUGCCCACACCCUUCUCAUGCACUACUAAAAAAUCUACCACAUGCGGGAAGAUAUGAUAGGAAGAAUUCUUCCCAGCUUGGCAUCGAAUGAGAGUGUGUCCAUGAAGCUUGCCACUAUAUGUGAUUUGACAUAUGAGAUCCUGUUCUUACAAAGCUAACAGGCAAGGGAUGGAAAGCAUGAGAAGAAAGUCACCCGUUCAAGAUGCUACAGGAAUAACGUUACCUUGGCUCCGGCUUCGCUGAUAGGAAAGCAUUCUGCAAUCCUUUUAGCAUCCCAUUCCUGCGGGUCUAGCCCGUGGAGGUAAUGUAUCUGCUGCUUCGCUGCCCAUGUCAACAAAUUAGUUUCUGGUGGCUUCGGAAAAUAUUUCCGCAGCGUGUUAUGCUUUGCUCUCAUACUCCUCUCCUUCCGGAGCUCGCUGUGAGAGUAAACAUAAAGUCAAACACGUUUUCAA
Ornithodoros turicata is the source of this 1471-nucleotide long non-coding RNA. RefSeq lists it as uncharacterized. The transcript is spliced from 3 exons. The record is from RefSeq and is a predicted model, not a curated record. Lineage: Eukaryota; Metazoa; Arthropoda; Arachnida; Ixodida; Argasidae.